GGACUACCGGGGUUUCUAAUCCCGUUUGCUCCCCUGGCCUUCGCGCCUCAGCGUCAGGAACUGUCCAGAGACCCGCCUUCGCCACUGGUCUUCCUCACGAUCUCUACGCAUUUCACUGCUACACCGUGAAUUCCAGUCUCCUCUCCAGUCCUCAAGCAGAGCAGUAUCGAGUGCAGUUUCAGGGUUGAGCCCUGAGAUUUCACACCCGACUUGCCCCGCAGCCUACGCGCCCUUUACGCCCAAUGAAUCCGAACAACGCUUGAGACCUCUGUAUUACCGCGGCUGCUGGCAC
RNAcentral lists this ribosomal RNA (292 nucleotides) under uncultured Verrucomicrobiota bacterium. RNAcentral's name for it is "uncultured Verrucomicrobia bacterium partial 16S ribosomal RNA". Lineage: Bacteria; Pseudomonadati; Verrucomicrobiota. The record is from RNAcentral.